This is a long non-coding RNA of Hyla sarda, 172 nucleotides long. RefSeq lists it as uncharacterized. The transcript has 3 exons. The record is from RefSeq and is a predicted model, not a curated record. NCBI's taxonomy places the organism in Eukaryota, Metazoa, Chordata, Amphibia, Anura, Hylidae.
AUUGUUGAGUAGCGUGUGCCCCCAGCAGAUCGCAACUACGGAACAGAGGUAGUAAAAUUUUGAAAAGGUUCCAUCAGUAGAAUGCAGGUGCCAUCUACUAAAGCCGUUGUGAUUUCCAGCAGGACAUUGUGAGUCAAGCGGUUCCCUAAUAUAAUUAAUAAAGGGUAUCCAC